RNAcentral lists this ribosomal RNA (705 nucleotides) under Clostridium sp. K25. Its description in RNAcentral is "bacterial LSU rRNA". It matches the Rfam family "Bacterial large subunit ribosomal RNA", at positions 927 to 1634 of the family's 2925-position model. Lineage: Bacteria; Bacillati; Bacillota; Clostridia; Eubacteriales; Clostridiaceae. The record is from RNAcentral.
UGACAACAGUUACUGAACCCUAUCAAACUCCGAAUGCCAUAUACUUGUACCCCGGCAGUCAGACUACGAAUGAUAAGAUCCGUGGUCAAAAGGGAAACAGCCCAGACCAUCAGCUAAGGUCCCAAAGUGUAAGUUAAGGGGGAAAGGAUGUGGGAUUUCUAAGACAACUAGGAUGUUGGCUUAGAAGCAGCCACUCAUUUAAAGAGUGCGUAAUAGCUCACUAGUCGAGAGAUCCUGCGCCGAAGAUGUAACGGGGCUCAAACUUACCACCGAAGCUAUGGAUGUGUACUUUGUACACGUGGUAGAGGAGCUUUCUGUACAGGUUGAAGUCAUACCGUAAGGAGUGGUGGACAGUACAGAAGUGAGAAUGCUGGCAUAAGUAGCGAAAAACAAGUGAGAAUCUUGUUGACCGAAUAUCUAAGGUUUCCUGGGGAAGGCUCGUCCUCCCAGGGUUAGUCGGGACCUAAGCCGAGGCCGAAAGGCGUAGGUGAUGGACAACUGGUUGAUAUUCCAGUACCACCAUAAUGCGUUUGACAAAUGGGAUGACGCAGGAGGAUAGGAUGUGCGCACUAUUGGAUGUGCGUCUAAGCACUUAGGGUGUUAAGUAGGCAAAUCCGCUUAACAUUAAGCCUGAGGUGUGAUGGGGAGCCUAUUUUGGCGAAGUAUCUGAUUCCACGCUGCCAAGAAAAGUCUCUAUGGAGCAAA